This 705-nucleotide long non-coding RNA is filed under the name Pan troglodytes (chimpanzee). Its description in RNAcentral is "long non-coding RNA NONPTRT008225". The record is from RNAcentral. Lineage: Eukaryota; Metazoa; Chordata; Mammalia; Primates; Hominidae.
CUCUCACUCCCAGCUGUGCCCUCCUGGGAGAGGAGGCCCCUCAGGGAACCUCCCAGACCCGAUUUCAGUGGGGGCCUGUCCUGUCCCACCUGCAGCAGAGACGGUGACCUGGGGCAGGGGAGGGGAGCAGAGUCAUGGUUCAAGACAGUCAGGCUCUUUCCCUGCAGCUCCGGGACUCGGCUCUGGUGCAGGAACAAGGGCUGCAGGUCAGACUCCCGGGUUCCCUUCCCAGCUCUGCCGCUUCCUGGCUGGGGGCCCGGGGCAGGCGAUUCCCCUCUCUGAGCGUCAGUUUUUCAUCUGUAGAGUGGGUGGGGUGGAUGUUUCUGUGCUGCACGACUGUUGUGGGGGUUGGAGGUGGUGAAUAGAAGGUCCAGCAGUCACCUGCACACAGUAGGCGCUCAUUUCAAUGACAUCACCCCCAUCCCUGACAUCAUCGUGCUCAAGGUCUGGGAAGGCACCUGGGGGUUGUGAUCGGCAUCUUGGUGGCCGUCGUCCUCCUGCUCCUCCUCCUCCUCCUCCUGUUCCUCGUCCUCCGACACCGACGUCAGGGCAAACGCUGGACAUCGACCCAGAGAAAGGCUGAUUUCCAACAUCCUGCAGGGGCUGUGGGGCCAGAGCCCACAGACAGAGGCCUGCAGAGGAGGUAAUUCUGUCCGAAGACCCCAGAUUCCCACUCGCUCGUGGCCCAUACACUGCCCCCAAAGC